UACGGAGGGGGCCAGCGUUGUUCAGAAUUAUUGGGCGUAAAGGGCGCGUAGGCGGCCGAGCAAGUCUGACGUGAAAUCCCCCGGCCCAACCGGGGAACUGCGUUUGAAACUGCUUGGCUCGAGUCCGGGAGAGGGUAGCGGAAUUCCCAGUGUAGCGGUGAAAUGCGUAGAUAUUGGGAGGAACACCGGUGGCGAAGGCGGCUUACUGGACUGUAACUGACACUGAGGCUCGAAAGCGUGGGGAGCAAAC
RNAcentral lists this ribosomal RNA (250 nucleotides) under uncultured bacterium. RNAcentral's name for it is "partial 16S ribosomal RNA". It matches the Rfam family "Bacterial small subunit ribosomal RNA", at positions 524 to 773 of the family's 1533-position model. The record is from RNAcentral.